GCAGAUGUAGCUCAAUGGUGGAGCGCUUGCCUGGUGUGCACAAAGCCCUGGGUUUGAUCCCUAGCGCUGGUA
This 72-nucleotide transfer RNA is filed under the name Ictidomys tridecemlineatus (thirteen-lined ground squirrel). RNAcentral's name for it is "Spermophilus tridecemlineatus (thirteen-lined ground squirrel) tRNA". It matches the Rfam family "tRNA". From Rfam's summary of the family: Transfer RNA (tRNA) molecules are approximately 80 nucleotides in length. Their secondary structure includes four short double-helical elements and three loops (D, anti-codon, and T loops). Lineage: Eukaryota; Metazoa; Chordata; Mammalia; Rodentia; Sciuridae. The record is from Rfam by way of RNAcentral.